This is a non-coding RNA of Tachyglossus aculeatus (Australian echidna), 76 nucleotides long. The record is from the annotation of a RefSeq genome assembly. NCBI's taxonomy places the organism in Eukaryota, Metazoa, Chordata, Mammalia, Monotremata, Tachyglossidae.
GGGGAUAUAGCUCAGGGAAAGAGCAUUUGACUGCAGAUCAAGAGGUCCCUGGUUCAAAUCCGGGUAUCCUGUAACA